UAGGGAAUCUUCGGCAAUGGACGGAAGUCUGACCGAGCAACGCCGCGUGAGUGAAGAAGGUUUUCGGAUCGUAAAGCUCUGUUGUUAGAGAAGAACGUUGGUAGGAGUGGAAAAUCUACCAAGCGACGGUAACUAACCAGAAAGGGACGGCUAACUACGUGCCAGCAGCCGCGGUAAUACGUAGGUCCCGAGCGUUGUCCGGAUUUAUUGGGCGUAAAGCGAGCGCAGGCGGUUCUUUAAGUCUGAAGUUAAAGGCAGUGGCUUAACCAUUGUACGCUUUGGAAACUGGAGGACUUGAGUGCAGAAGGGGAGAGUGGAAUUCCAGGUGUGGCGGUGAAAUGCGUAGAUAUAUGGAGGAACACCGGUGGCGAAAGCGGCUCUCUGGUCUGUAACUGACGCUGAGGCUCGAAAGCGUGGGGAGCAAACAGG
This 429-nucleotide ribosomal RNA is filed under the name Bacillota bacterium. RNAcentral describes it as "Firmicutes bacterium partial 16S ribosomal RNA". It matches the Rfam family "Bacterial small subunit ribosomal RNA", at positions 355 to 776 of the family's 1533-position model. The record is from RNAcentral. Lineage: Bacteria; Bacillati; Bacillota.